AUGUGGUGUUCGGGAGGAUCGUGCGCGUCUGUCCGGUAUCUAUCGUCCAAGUCUCCAUGAACGGGGCGAGCAACCCAUAGAGGGUGUCAGGCCCGUAGACAAGACGAGCCGAGACCGUGCAUCGGAUCCCUUCCCAAGAGUCGGGUUGCUUGAGCGUGCAGCCCUAAGCGGGAGGUAAACUCCUUCUAAGGCUAAAUAUCGCCACGAGACCGAUAGCGAACAAGUACCGCGAGGGAAAGUUGAAAAGAACUUUGAAGAGAGAGUUCAAGAGUGCGUGAAACCGUUCAGGGGGUUAAACGGGUGGGCCCUCGAAGGUCGAACGAGCCCCCGCUCCCGGCACUUGGUUGCAUGCCCUUAGCUUGCGUGGAGACCUGUCUGAAUUGGCGGCUCCGAUCGCUCAUGCUUUGGCCCGCAAUAGCCGCGCCAAGGUCCGCAAGUGGGGGGCCUAGUAGGACUCCGCGACCGACUGGGUGUCUGUUACACGGGGCGUUUCCGUUAGCGAGUUUCGCGGUUGCCUUCGCGGGUGCCGCGGUGACGAGCGCGGCGUUUCCCAACAGUACUGCCCGGUCGUGACCUGUCUCCUCCCGGGAGGUGUCGUUUUUUGUACUAGUCAAAUAGUACGGGCGGCGCUCAACCUGUGGAGGCCCAGAGCGGAGAGUAGAAGUCGGGUCCCACCCGACCCGUCUUGAAACACGGACCAAGGAGUCUAACAUGUGCGCGAGUCGUCGAGAUCAUUUGUUUCAACUAAACUCGCGAGGCGCAAUGAAAGUGAAGCGGCCCCGAUGAGGGUGCAUCCGCGAGGGGUGAUCCCGUCUCGAACAGAGCGGGCGCAACCCCUGGGCGUUCGAAUGCUCGCGAGAUCUUUCCCCCUUAAAAGGGUUUGAUCGAGUCGGCCGGACGAACCAAGAGCGCACACGUUGGGACCCGAAAGAUGGUGACCUAUGCCUGGCCAGGACGAAGCCAGGGGAAACCCUGGUGGAGGUCCGCAGCG
Molecule: ribosomal RNA, 991 nt
Filed under: Daphnia pileata
Lineage: Eukaryota; Metazoa; Arthropoda; Branchiopoda; Diplostraca; Daphniidae
Description: eukaryotic LSU rRNA
Rfam family: Eukaryotic large subunit ribosomal RNA
Source: RNAcentral